This 598-nucleotide ribosomal RNA is filed under the name Shewanella sp. PR4_D11. RNAcentral's name for it is "bacterial SSU rRNA". It matches the Rfam family "Bacterial small subunit ribosomal RNA", at positions 100 to 695 of the family's 1533-position model. Lineage: Bacteria; Pseudomonadati; Pseudomonadota; Gammaproteobacteria; Alteromonadales; Shewanellaceae. The record is from RNAcentral.
GANGGGUGAGUAAUGCCUAGGGAUCUGCCCAGUCGAGGGGNAUAACAGUUGGAAACGACUGCUAAUACCGCAUACGCCCUACGGGGGAAAGGAGGGGACCUUCGGGCCUUCCGCGAUUGGAUGAACCUAGGUGGGAUUAGCUAGUUGGUGAGGUAAUGGCUCACCAAGGCGACGAUCCCUAGCUGUUCUGAGAGGAUGAUCAGCCACACUGGGACUGAGACACGGCCCAGACUCCUACGGGAGGCAGCAGUGGGGAAUAUUGCACAAUGGGGGAAACCCUGAUGCAGCCAUGCCGCGUGUGUGAAGAAGGCCUUCGGGUUGUAAAGCACUUUCAGUAGGGAGGAAAGGGUGUAGUUUAAUACGCUAUAUCUGUGACGUUACCUACAGAAGAAGGACCGGCUAACUCCGUGCCAGCAGCCGCGGUAAUACGGAGGGUCCGAGCGUUAAUCGGAAUUACUGGGCGUAAAGCGUGCGCAGGCGGUUUGUUAAGCGAGAUGUGAAAGCCCUGGGCUCAACCUAGGAAUAGCAUUUCGAACUGGCGAACUAGAGUCUUGNANNNGGGGGUAGAAUUCCAGGUGUAGCGGUGAAAUGCGUAGAG